AUUGAACGCUGGCGGAAUGCUUUACACCUGCAAGUCGAACGGUAGAGGGGGCAACCCCUCGAGAGUGGCGAACGGGUGAGUAAUAUAUCGGAACGUGCCCAGUCGUGGGGGAUAACGUAGCGAAAGUUACGCUAAUACCGCAUACGAUCUACGGAUGAAAGCGGGGGAUCGCAAGACCUCGCGCAAUUGAGCCGGCCGAUAUCAGAUUAGGUAGUUGGUGGGGUAAAGGCUCACAAAGCCAACGAUCUGUAGCUGGUCUGAGAGGACGACCAGCCACACUGGAACUGAGACACGGUCCAGACUCCUACGGGAGGCAGCAGUGGGGAAUUUUGGACAAUGGACGCAAGUCUGAUCCAGCCAUUCCGCGUGCAGGAUGAAGGCCCUCGGGUUGUAAACUGCUUUUGUACGGAACGAAAAGGUUUCCAUUAAUACUGGGAGCUCAUGACGGUACCGUAAGAAUAAGCACCGGCUAACUACGUGCCAGCAGCCGCCGUAA
RNAcentral lists this ribosomal RNA (496 nucleotides) under uncultured bacterium. RNAcentral's name for it is "partial 16S ribosomal RNA". It matches the Rfam family "Bacterial small subunit ribosomal RNA", at positions 30 to 523 of the family's 1533-position model. The record is from RNAcentral.